Molecule: ribosomal RNA, 253 nt
Filed under: uncultured bacterium
Lineage: Bacteria
Description: partial 16S ribosomal RNA
Rfam family: Bacterial small subunit ribosomal RNA
Source: RNAcentral
UACGUAGGUGGCAAGCGUUGUCCGGAUUUAUUGGGUUUAAAGGGUGCGUAGGCGGCCCUGUAAGUCAGUGCUGAAAUAUCCCAGCUUAACUGGGAGGGUGGCAUUGAUACUGCGGGGUUAGAGUACAGAUGAGGUAGGCGGAAUUGACGGUGUAGCGGUGAAAUGCUUAGAUAUCGUCAAGAACACCUAUAGCGAAGGCAGCUUACUAGGCUGUAACUGACGCUGAGGCACGAAAGUGUGGGGAUCAAACAGG